This 105-nucleotide small nuclear RNA is filed under the name Rhodnius prolixus. The record is from RNAcentral. Lineage: Eukaryota; Metazoa; Arthropoda; Insecta; Hemiptera; Reduviidae.
AACUGCUUCGGCGGUACAUAUACUAAAAUUGGAACGAUACAGAGAAGAUUAGCAUGGCCCCUGCGCAAGGAUGACACGCAAAAUCGUGAAGCGUUCCACAUUAGA